GGUCUCCGUUGGUGAACCAGCGGAGGGAUCAUUACAGAGUUGCAAAACUCCCUAAACCAUUGUGAACGUUACCUUCAAACCGUUGCUUCGGCGGGCGGCCCGGGUCCGCCCGGUGCCCCCUGGCCCCCUAGCGGGGCGCCCGCCGGAGGAAACCCAACUCUUGAUUAUUAUGGCCUCUCUGAGUCUUCUGUACUGAAUAAGUCAAAACUUUCAACAACGGAUCUCUUGGUUCUGGCAUCGAUGAAGAACGCAGCGAAAUGCGAUAAGUAAUGUGAAUUGCAGAAUUCAGUGAAUCAUCGAAUCUUUGAACGCACAUUGCGCCCGCCAGUAUUCUGGCGGGCAUGCCUGUUCGAGCGUCAUUUCAACCAUCAAGCCCCAGGCUUGUGUUGGGGACCUGCGGCUGCCGCAGGCCCUGAAAACCAGUGGCGGGCUCGCUGUCACACCGGGCGUAGUAGAUUUUAUCUCGCUCAGGGCGUGCUGCGGGUUCCGGCCGUUAAAAGCCUUUUUUACCCAAGGUUGACCUCGGAUCAGGUAGGAAUACCCGCUGAACUUAAGCAUAUCAAUAAGCGGAGG
This 573-nucleotide ribosomal RNA is filed under the name Thielavia sp. RNAcentral describes it as "eukaryotic LSU rRNA". The stretch from base 206 to 359 matches the Rfam family "5.8S ribosomal RNA". The record is from RNAcentral. Lineage: Eukaryota; Fungi; Ascomycota; Sordariomycetes; Coronophorales; Ceratostomataceae.